Molecule: long non-coding RNA, 1740 nt
Organism: Pogona vitticeps (central bearded dragon)
Lineage: Eukaryota; Metazoa; Chordata; Lepidosauria; Squamata; Agamidae
Source: Ensembl
AGUAGGACUAGUACUGGAUUUAAUUCAUAGGCUUUAUGCUAUCCCAAUCAGUCAGAUGUCAUAUAGGCAGCAGGGCAACACAAUGAGGCAGCCAAUCAGGUUGGAUUGCAUAAUGACGUCACAAAGUCAAAGCAAGUGAACUCCUUGUCCCAUUUUCAUGGCUUACCACUACGGAAUAUGAUGAAAUUACAGUUUGAAUGGGAGAACACCAACCUCACCAGCAGCCACAGUAGAAGGGGAAACAUCAGCAACAGCAAGAACAUCAGCUACCAGAACGAAGGAGCAGAAGUUUCUAACAAUUACCAAUGUGCUCCCCACCUUUACCAAAACUUCAGGCUCAAUACUGCAGCCAAUUGGGAGGGUGCUUAAAACCACCUCCGACACAAAUGAAACAGCAGGCACUCCAAAGCAGAAUCAACCAGCCUCUUGUAAGGCAGAAGACUGACACACAGAUUCAAGGUAACUCUGGAUCAUGUGAGGAAGGGCCACACCUGCAGGGAGACAGGCAAAGACUCCAAUCAUGUGGCCUCUGAUGUUCAGAUAUGUCUGAAGCUACCUUCCACUUCAUAUCAAGCAAGCAGGAGCUACUCACCAACUGCUUCUUAGAACUACUAGAGGGAAUCGCUGGCUGCUCUUGACCAUCUGAAAAAGUUGUUCUUAAAAAGUUGUUCUUAAAGCAUGCCAUAGUACUGUAGUAAUUUUCCCCCCAGCUCUUCCUCUCACCCCCAACCCCAUAAAUGUUUCUCUGAAAAUAGUAUAAAGAUAGGCCCAGACCUACCCUUAGGCAAAGUGAAGAAGCUGCCUUAAGCAUCCACUCCGGGGUAUCAAAAAUGGGCUGCAAAUUCUUAAUUUGUUAUUAUUGUACUUGGACAGCCAAGGAUGGAGAAAGGUGUUUGAAUAAUUUUCUUCCUCAUGAGCCAAAAUAGGCUGACUUAGAGUCCUAUGGUAUUCACCUUGAUUUCUGUAGGUGUAUUUGCUGUUCUUAGGUCAUUCUUAUAUAGGGAAGAAAAGUAAUCUGGUCACUUCUGCUUGGUUCACUUCUUGGCUUUUUAAUGCAAACCUAGGACAUUAUAAAAGUUAAGAGGAACUUGUAAAAUGGUCUAUUGCAGGGCUGACAACUCACAUAUCUGGGUAACACCUACUCUUCUACACAGAGAGAAACCUUAAUAGUUGUCUUCCCUCUAACUGAACAUUGACAAAAAGAAGAAUGCCACAGAUUGCUGUUGCAGUGAAGACAAUGACAGAUGUUUAAAAUAAUAGAGACUUAAGAUUUAAUAGCUGGAGAGACAAAAUGGUUUCGUAUAGGCAAAAGUGUCAGACAAGGGUGUAUUUUAUCCCCAUAUCUAUUCAAUCUGUAAGCACAACAUUUAGCGAGGCUAAAUUCAGACAAAGAAGUGAAAAUUUGUUGCAAGAAAUAUCAAUAAUUUAAGAUACGCAGAUGACAUCAUCUUACUGGCAGAAAGCAGCAAUGACUUGAACCAAAUUUUAGUGAAAGUGAAAGAAGAAAGUGUCGAAGUAAGACUAACUGAACAUUAAGAAGAUCAAAAUAGUUAUUUCUGAAGAACUACACAACUUAAUGUUAUCAAUGACAAAACUGGAAAAGCGACAUUAAGUACAAAAUACUGUAAUUAUCAAUAUAUAUCUGUAGUGGCCAUUGUUGUGUUGAAUAUAUCUGCUACUUCCUUGAUCUUCUUGUGCACAUUAAAUAAAUAAAAUAUCUUUUGUUGGUUUCCUGUUUCU